This 258-nucleotide long non-coding RNA is filed under the name Lathyrus oleraceus (garden pea). RNAcentral describes it as "Pisum sativum (pea) long non-coding RNA (PSAT_LNC010663)". The record is from RNAcentral. Lineage: Eukaryota; Viridiplantae; Streptophyta; Magnoliopsida; Fabales; Fabaceae.
UUACCUAUGUCGAUGUAGUUUACCUCUAAUAUUUCACUGACUAACCACAAGUUGUCUUUGGAAGACAUAUCAGAUAACAGGAAGUUGCACGCUGCUUGCGAUAAUUUAAUGUUACUAAUAUUUUCAUAAUUCAUUUGCUACACUUGUUAUUAUUAUUGUAUCUUAACCAUUUUUAAGGAUGGAUCAUGUAACACCCUAAACCUAGACUCUUAAUAUAAAAGAGAAAUCCCACAACUUAGGAUGCUAAUCAAAACAAAA